UGGGGUCCAAGAUAGCUGGAGUGAUCAACAAGUGGGCCUUAAGGCAUUGGGGAAGGAGAGAAUUCUGUUGGAAAAGCAGCGCAGAUGUGAGCUCUUCAGAUCAUCUCUCUGCCUCAAUUUAUUCCCUGCUCCUCUCCCCUGAAAAUUUGAUGUCAUCUUAUUAAUGAAAGCAUCCUGAUGGGCCUGAACCACGGUCGUCUGAGUCACCUCAGUUUGCAGACCUAGGAGGGGGUGAACCAGCUUCCCUAACGUCAUGGCCAUGAACUCUGUAAAAGGACGAUCGUCAUCCUCUCAGAGAAAAGCCUCAUUGUGAAUCCCCACCUCACCACUGCCCCUAUUAGGGAUGGGAGCGAUUCAAUGCCCGGCGGUGGUCCGGAAUAUCCCAGCUGGAGGCAGGUCAACAGAUUUCCAAAGCGACUGGAGCAUUGACGAGAGAAGGCGGCAGAAUCUCCAGGGUUUGAGGGAGGAGGAAGCGAGCACGCCGGGGCUGAAGUUCGUCGGCCGAAGAAGCCAGCGGCCGCGUGGGAGCGACACAGGGGCCGAUUAGCCAGAGGAUGGAUGAUCCGGGUCCGCGGUACCUGCCUUCUUGUCGCUCUGACUUGGAGACGUUUAAUGGCUCACCGACAGUCGAGGAGCAGAAAAGAGCCCGGGCUUGGGAGU
This is a long non-coding RNA of Ornithorhynchus anatinus (platypus), 660 nucleotides long. RefSeq lists it as uncharacterized. The record is from RefSeq and is a predicted model, not a curated record. The transcript has 4 exons. NCBI's taxonomy places the organism in Eukaryota, Metazoa, Chordata, Mammalia, Monotremata, Ornithorhynchidae.